Molecule: long non-coding RNA, 1486 nt
Filed under: Equus caballus (horse)
Lineage: Eukaryota; Metazoa; Chordata; Mammalia; Perissodactyla; Equidae
Description: lncRNA (ENSECAG00000049311.1)
Source: RNAcentral
AAAAUAUGUGGUGACAAGAAAGCAUUGCUGUAACAUACCAUGUGAGGAUGAUUCAAAGAUAAAGGCCUAUAAAAAUUAACGGUCAAAGAAGAAUGCGGACUAGUAAAGCAACAACCACCUUAUUAUAAACAGAGGUCUCUCCCUACUAGAAUGCAAGUUCCACGAGAGCAGAAUUUUUGUCUGCGUGGUUAGAAGAGUAUCCAGUACAUAUAUUUUACAGCUAUAAAAGAGGUUGGAUAGAAAUGGAGAAUAGCCUUAAAAGUUACAACAGACAAUGUCAACGUCUUAAUUUUUUCCCUCGGUGUAGUACAAGCUGACCUACUUUGGAGCACUUGGGCCAUCAAAAUGCUACUGCAACGUUAACCAAGAGGCUGUAUGAAAGCAAGUGAUUGAGAAGCGAUUCAGGCACAUUCUUGGCAACAUAUGCAUCUCCUGUCCGGUUUGCUUGGAAGGCACACACCUGAACAUACGUGAGGAGAGGCUAAAAAGAUUCAGGAUGUACAAGCCUCGCUCCUGGCUGCCUAAGGUGGGACAAAUCAACCUCGGAGAUAUAGCCUGACUCACUUUAAUCCCAGGAUGAGCAUGUACGGUGUAGGGGCAUCAAGUCUGGGGGAAAAGAACAACAGUUUUGUGCUCUCUAUUGGCUGUUGUGAGAGGCUUCUGCCAGUUGGAUUUAUCCUCAGGCUGUCUGUGAUGGUCCCUGACACUUCAUGGCUCACUUCCUUCUGUCAAGUAAUUCAAGGGAAAAAGCAUCCGUACAAGUCCUGGGAUUCACUGAAAUCAAACCAGUUUGGGAAAUAUGUGUAUUCCUGCACCAAACACCAUGAGACCGGCACAAUUGGAAUUAUGCUAAUAGAUGAAUCAUGUGCCAACAAUCAAACUAAUCUUCCUGAUAUAUCCCUCAAGUCAGGAGUGGCACCAUUCCUGAAUCGUACAGACCAAGAAUAGGCAAAUGAUGGUCCCCAAAGGGAACGGGAAUACUGAGAAGCAUUACGGCUGGAAAAUAUCAAUUGUAUUUACUUCUUGCAAUUGAAUACAGUUUCUGUGACAAGGCAUACUAACAUUGUAGAAUAUGUAAGCAAUGACUAUCACCUCUUCUGUAAAGCCAGUCCUGACCCCGGAGAGAGAAAUAACCACUCCAUCCUCUGUGCUCCUACAGUUCUGCCCACCCUAUGAUAUCAUCACAACCCAUUAAUGCCCUAAAUUUCUUGAUUACAUAUAGAUCUCCCCACCCAUGACUGCCUUUUUCACAAGGGUAAAGAAGGUAUCAUUUCCUUCGUAUUUCUCCAUUGAUUUCAUAAUUCCUGAAAAAUAGUAGAACUCCUAAUAAAUGUUUAUUUCUUGAAUAAGUUAUCUCCAUACCUGAUCAUAUAAUAAGCAACAAUGUUGAAAGAUACCAGAUUACAUUAAGGAAUCAAGUGAGACCAGCAGUUAGCCUGAGACUCUACGAUCAAUAUCACUGUCUCUCUUCUCCCCCCAAAUACUA